This 305-nucleotide ribosomal RNA is filed under the name uncultured bacterium. RNAcentral describes it as "bacterial SSU rRNA". It matches the Rfam family "Bacterial small subunit ribosomal RNA", at positions 338 to 659 of the family's 1533-position model. The record is from RNAcentral.
CCUACGGGGGGCAGCAGUGGGGAAUAUUGCACAAUGGGGGAAACCCUGAUGCAGCAACGCCGCGUGAAGGAAGACGGUUUUCGGAUUGUAAACUUCUGUUCUUAGUGAAGAAGAAUGACGGUAGCUAAGGAGCAAGCCACGGCUAACUACGUGCCAGCAGCCGCGGUAAUACGUAGGUGGCAAGCGUUGUCCGGAAUUACUGGGUGUAAAGGGGGCGCAGGCGGGAAGCCAAGUCAGCUGUGAAAACUACGGGCUUAACUUGUAGACUGCAGUUGAAACUGGCUUUCUUGAGUGAAGUAGAGGUU